Mya arenaria is the source of this 566-nucleotide long non-coding RNA. RefSeq lists it as uncharacterized. The transcript is spliced from 3 exons. The record is from RefSeq and is a predicted model, not a curated record. Lineage: Eukaryota; Metazoa; Mollusca; Bivalvia; Myida; Myidae.
UGGUCAACACUGGUUAAUUAGUUGUUAAACCGGUUAAAUAUAAUAUUUACAAAAUACUAUAGCCAUAUUCUAACGUAGCUAUAUAACUAUAUUCUAACGGUUACGCAUUUAAGACGAAACGCUCUUCACUGGCGGAGAUAGUUUCGAACGCCCGCCAUUUUUGUCGAAAUAAUGCGCCAAAUAAACUGAUGUCUUGUUUCGUUUAUUUAAGCCAACCCAAAGGAGCUAACAAAUAAAUCAUCAGUCCUCAAACGAAUCAACCAGUGAAGGAGAAAAACAUUCAAAGCCGUAAAUUGUCAAAUCCAUCAGUUGGAAGAUGGAUGUCAAAGUCUUAGACAACGAAAGGCUUCCAGAGUUAAGAAAAGACCACUUCAACAAAAACAAUCAUGCAAAGAAUGACUGCAAAAAAUCUUUUCGCAGAUGCGUUUCAUCAUCAAGUGUAUAAGGAAAAGGGACCUGGGUACAGAGACUAGAUGUAAAUGUCAAGGACUGAAAUGAGCAAUUCAAUGGUUUCUUACUAAUUGUGUUUAUAUGCGUCAUAAGAAAUUAAAACUGUUAUAAAUGGA